GACGAACCGUACGAACGUUAUUCGGAAUUACUGGGCUUAAAGGGUGCGUAGGCGGCGCGGAAAGUAGGGUGUGAAAUCCCUCGGCUCAACCGAGGAACUGCGCUCUAAGCUACCGUGCUCGAGGGAGAUAGAGGUGAGCGGAACUGAGGGUGGAGCGGUGAAAUGCGUUGAUAUCCUCAGGAACACCGGUGGCGAAAGCGGCUCACUGGAUCUCUUCUGACGCUGAGGCACGAAAGCUAGGGUAGCGAACGGG
This 253-nucleotide ribosomal RNA is filed under the name uncultured bacterium. Its description in RNAcentral is "partial 16S ribosomal RNA". It matches the Rfam family "Bacterial small subunit ribosomal RNA", at positions 524 to 776 of the family's 1533-position model. The record is from RNAcentral.